GAUGAACGCUGGCGGCGUGCCUAAUACAUGCAAGUCGAGCGAACGGACGAGAAGCUUGCUUCUCUGAUGUUAGCGGCGGACGGGUGAGUAACACGUGGAUAACCUACCUAUAAGACUGGGAUAACUUCGUGAAACCGGAGCUAAUACCGGAUAAUAUUUUGCACCGCAUGGUUCAAAAGUGAAAGACGGUCUUGCUGUCACUUAUAGAUGUAUCCGCGCUGCAUUAGCUAGUUGGUAAGGUAACGGCUUACCAAGGCAACGAUGCAUAGCCGACCUGAGAGGGUGAUCGGGCACACUGGAACUGAGACACGGUACAGACUCCUACGGGAGGCAGCAGUAGGGAAUCUUCCGCAAUGGGCGAAAGCAUGACGGAGCAACGCAGAGUGAGAGAUGAAGGUCUUCGGAUCGUAAAACUCUGUUAUGAGGGAAGAAAAUAUGUGUAAGUAACUGUGCACAUCUUGACGGUACCUAAUCAGAAAGCCACGGCUAACUACGUG
This 497-nucleotide ribosomal RNA is filed under the name uncultured bacterium. Its description in RNAcentral is "partial 16S ribosomal RNA". It matches the Rfam family "Bacterial small subunit ribosomal RNA", at positions 28 to 507 of the family's 1533-position model. The record is from RNAcentral.